GGAAUAGGACGUGUGGUUCUAUUUUGUUGGUUUCUAGGACCGCCGUAAUGAUUAAUAGGGACAGUCGGGGGCAUCAGUAUUCAAUUGUCAGAGGUGAAAUUCUUGGAUUUACUGAAGACUAACUACUGCGAAAGCAUUUGCCAAGGAUGUUUUCAUUAAUCAGGAACGAAAGUUAGGGGAUCGAAGACGAUCAGAUACCGUCGUAGUCUUAACCAUAAACUAUGCCGACUAGGGAUCGGACGAUGUUAUUUUUUGACGCGUUCGGCACCUUACGAGAAAUCAAAGUGCUUGGGCUCCAGGGGGAGUAUGGUCGCGAGGCUAAAACUUAAAGAAAUUGACGGAAGGGCACCACCAGGGGUGGAGCCUGCGGCUUAAUUUGGCUCAACACGGGGAAACUCACCAGGUCCAGACACAAUGAGGAUUGACAGAUUGAGAGCUCUUUCUUGAUUUUGUGGGUGGUGGUGCAUGGCCGUUCUUAGUUGGUGGAGUGAUUUGUCUGCUUAAUUGCGAUAGCGAACGAGACCUUAACCUGCUAAAUAGCCCGUAUUGCUUUGGCAGUACGCUGGCUUCUUAGAGGGACUAUCGGCUCAAGCCGAUGGAAGUUUGAGGCAAUAACAGGUCUGUGAUGCCCUUAGAUGUUCUGGGCCGCACGCGCGCUACACUGACGGAGCCAGCGAGUACUCCCUUGGCCGGAAGGCCCGGGUAAUCUGUAUUGAU
This 717-nucleotide ribosomal RNA is filed under the name uncultured fungus. RNAcentral describes it as "SSU rRNA". It matches the Rfam family "Eukaryotic small subunit ribosomal RNA", at positions 819 to 1560 of the family's 1831-position model. The record is from RNAcentral. Lineage: Eukaryota; Fungi.